AUGCAUUGCACGGUGGAUGUG
RNAcentral lists this non-coding RNA (21 nucleotides) under Arabidopsis thaliana (thale cress). Lineage: Eukaryota; Viridiplantae; Streptophyta; Magnoliopsida; Brassicales; Brassicaceae. The record is from RNAcentral.